AUUUGAAACUGGUAGUCUAGAGGCCAGGAGAGGUUAGUGGAAUGCCGAGUGUAGACGGUGCAGAAUUCCGUAGAUGUUCGGUGGAACACCAGUGGCGAAGGCGACUGACUGGAACUGCGUACUGACGCUGCAGGUGCGAAAGUGUGGCGAGCAUACAGGACUAGAUACCCUGGUAGUCCACACCGUAAACGAUGAGUGCUAGUUGUCGGCAGGCAUGCCUGUCGGUGACGCAGCUAACGCACUAAGCACUCCGCCUGGGGAGUACGGCCGCAAGGUUAAAACUCAAAGAAAUCGACGGGGGCCCGCACAACCGGUGGAGCAUGUGGUUUAAUUCGAAGCAACGCGCAGAACCUUACAUACCCUGGACAUGCCCGGUCCGGUCGCCAGAGAUGGCUUCCUUGAUUCGUUCGCCGGUGCACAGGUGCUGCAUGGCUGUCGUCAGCUCGUGUCGUGAGAUGUUGGGUUAAGUCCCGCAACGAGCGCAACCCUCAUCCUUAGUUGCCAUCAGGUUUGGCUGGGCACUCUAAGGAAACUGCCGGUGGCAAGCCGGAGGAAGGUGGGGAUGACGUCAAGUCCUCAUGGCCCUUACGGGUAGGGAUACACACGUGCUACAAUGGCAGUGACAAUGGGAUAAUCC
RNAcentral lists this ribosomal RNA (637 nucleotides) under uncultured organism. RNAcentral describes it as "bacterial SSU rRNA". It matches the Rfam family "Bacterial small subunit ribosomal RNA", at positions 625 to 1255 of the family's 1533-position model. The record is from RNAcentral.